Molecule: ribosomal RNA, 1341 nt
Filed under: uncultured bacterium
Lineage: Bacteria
Description: partial 16S ribosomal RNA
Rfam family: Bacterial small subunit ribosomal RNA
Source: RNAcentral
GACGAACGCUGGCGGCGUGCUUAACACAUGCAAGUCGAACGGUAAGGCUCCAGCUUGCUGGGGUACACGAGUGGCGAACGGGUGAGUAACACGUGGGUGACCUGCCCUGCACUUCGGGAUAAGCCUGGGAAACUGGGUCUAAUACCGGAUAGGACCGCACCGUGGGGGUGUGGUGGAAAGUUUUUUCGGUGUGGGAUGGGCCCGCGGCCUAUCAGCUUGUUGGUGGGGUAAUGGCCUACCAAGGCGGCGACGGGUAGCCGGCCUGAGAGGGUGGACGGCCACAUUGGGACUGAGACACGGCCCAGACUCCUACGGGAGGCAGCAGUGGGGAAUAUUGCACAAUGGGCGGAAGCCUGAUGCAGCGACGCCGCGUGGGGGAUGACGGCCUUCGGGUUGUAAACUCCUUUCACCAUCGACGAAGGGUUUCUGACGGUAGAUGGAGAAGAAGCACCGGCUAACUACGUGCCAGCAGCCGCGGUAAUACGUAGGGUGCGAGCGUUGUCCGGAAUUACUGGGCGUAAAGAGCUCGUAGGUGGUUUGUCGCGUCGUCUGUGAAAUUCCGGGGCUUAACUCCGGGCGUGCAGGCGAUACGGGCAUAACUUGAGUACUGUAGGGGAGACUGGAAUUCCUGGUGUAGCGGUGAAAUGCGCAGAUAUCAGGAGGAACACCGGUGGCGAAGGCGGGUCUCUGGGCAGUAACUGACGCUGAGGAGCGAAAGCAUGGGGAGCGAACAGGAUUAGAUACCCUGGUAGUCCAUGCCGUAAACGGUGGGCGCUAGGUGUGGGUUUCCUUCCACGGGAUCCGUGCCGUAGCUAACGCAUUAAGCGCCCCGCCUGGGGAGUACGGCCGCAAGGCUAAAACUCAAAGGAAUUGACGGGGGCCCGCACAAGCGGCGGAGCAUGUGGAUUAAUUCGAUGCAACGCGAAGAACCUUACCUGGGCUUGACAUAUACAGGAUCGCGCCAGAGAUGGUGUUUCCCUUGUGGCUUGUAUACAGGUGGUGCAUGGUUGUCGUCAGCUCGUGUCGUGAGAUGUUGGGUUAAGUCCCGCAACGAGCGCAACCCUUGUCUUAUGUUGCCAGCACGUUGUGGUGGGGACUCGUAAGAAACUGCCGGGGUUAACUCGGAGGAAGGUGGGGAUGACGUCAAAUCAUCAUGCCCCUUAUGCCCAGGGCUUCACACAUGCUACAAUGGUCGGUACAGUGGGUUGCCAGUCCGUGAGGGCGAGCUAAUCCCGCAAAGCCGGUCUCAGUUCGGAUCGGGGUCUGCAACUCGACCCCGUGAAGUCGGAGUCGCUAGUAAUCGCAGAUCAGCAACGCUGCGGUGAAUACGUUCCCGGGCCU